UACGAAGGGGGCUAGCGUUGUUCGGAAUCACUGGGCGUAAAGGGCGCGUAGGCGGCUUUGUAAGUCGGGGGUGAAAGCCUGUGGCUCAACCACAGAAUUGCCUUCGAUACUGCAUGGCUUGAGACCGGAAGAGGUAAGUGGAACUGCGAGUGUAGAGGUGAAAUUCGUAGAUAUUCGCAAGAACACCGGUGGCGAAGGCGGCCAACUGGUCCGGAUCUGACGCUGAGGCGCGAAAGCGUGGGGAGCAAACAGG
This 253-nucleotide ribosomal RNA is filed under the name uncultured bacterium. Its description in RNAcentral is "partial 16S ribosomal RNA". It matches the Rfam family "Bacterial small subunit ribosomal RNA", at positions 524 to 776 of the family's 1533-position model. The record is from RNAcentral.